Nicotiana tabacum (common tobacco) is the source of this 534-nucleotide long non-coding RNA. RefSeq lists it as uncharacterized. The record is from RefSeq and is a predicted model, not a curated record. NCBI's taxonomy places the organism in Eukaryota, Viridiplantae, Streptophyta, Magnoliopsida, Solanales, Solanaceae.
UAGACAAAACUUCUCUUUUGCUUCUUGUACAUACAGCUGAAAUUGUAUAUAAAUAGAGGGUGGCAUUUGCAAAUAGAAACAAGUAAUUGGUUGUAACUUAAACAUAUACACUUUUGUCCCACAUUUUUAUCUUGUCUUGGCCUUUGUUUUUCAUCUUUCAAGAUGCAAAAGCAAGAAAACCAAGUAAACCAACCUCCUCCAGGCUAUCCCACCGAAUUUACUCCAAAUAAGAACAAGAACAAGAUGAAGGGCCGGCCAAGAAGCAAGCCAAGAGGAGAAAGGGGGUUUCUGGAAGGAUGCCUCUUUGCACUAUGCUGCUGCUGGCUAUGUGAAGCUUGUUUUGACUAAACGUAUGUUUGGAAUAUAAAGGAAUCAACUGGUGUUGGUUUAUUCAACUAGCUAGUGAUGCAAUAUAUAUGUACUCGUAUGUGACAUUUUAUCAUGUAACCAAAUAUGUUCUUAGGAUUUGAGACUUUGUAUUGAUGCAGCAUAGUUGUUUAAUGAAGAAUAAAGUACUAAAAUAUAUCAAGAAAA